Molecule: ribosomal RNA, 474 nt
Filed under: uncultured bacterium
Lineage: Bacteria
Description: bacterial SSU rRNA
Rfam family: Bacterial small subunit ribosomal RNA
Source: RNAcentral
GAUGAACGCUGGCGGCGUGCCUCAAACAUGCAAGUCGAGCGGGGCUACGUAAUAUCGCAAGGUAGAACAUAGCCUAGCGGCGAACGGGUGAGUAACACGUGGGUAACCUGCCUGGAAGACAGGGAUAACGAUUCGAAAGGGUCGCUAAUACCUGAUAAUAUCCUUUCAUCGCAUGGUGAUAGGAAGAAAGGGGAAACCCGCUUUCAGAUGGGCCCGCGUCCCAUCAGCUAGUUGGUAAGGUAAAGGCUUACCAAGGCGACGACGGGUAGCCGGUCUGAGAGGAUGUACGGCCACACUGGGACUGAGAUACGGCCCAGACUCCUACGGGAGGCAGCAGUUGGGAAUCUUAGGCAAUGGACGAAAGUCUGACCUAGCGACGCCGCGUGAGGGAAGAAGGCCUUCGGGUUGUAAACCUCUGUCAUGGGGGAAGAAGGAAGUGACGGUACCCAAGAGGAAGCCCCUGCUAACUACGUG